This is a non-coding RNA of Momordica charantia (bitter melon), 1974 nucleotides long. Lineage: Eukaryota; Viridiplantae; Streptophyta; Magnoliopsida; Cucurbitales; Cucurbitaceae. The record is from RefSeq and is a predicted model, not a curated record.
AAAAGGAAGAAAAAGAGAAUCUUUUUGUACCUUUUUGGAUCUGAGGGAAAGGACGCGUGCUGAUCGUCCAAGGAAUCCAACAGCAUCUGCCUCCUUAAUUAUUGACCGUCGGAUCCUGAUUCAUAUUUGUCGUAUUAGCGGCCUUUCUGGUGGGCUCGGAGGCCCAUUGUGGCGACUGAUUCGGCCCAUCGAUUCAUUGCCGCAGGGAGUUUCUUUGCUGCCGACGAGCGGCUGUUUCCUUUCUCCUCCGCCGCCGUCGCUCACUAUGGUGAACGAGACCCGAGAGUAGAACCGUAAUGGUGUAAGGUGUUACAAGGCUCCGUCAUAUCUAAAUUCUCAAUUUCCUGAGCCGUACGUCGCCGUCGCCGUCGCUAUCGCCACCGUCUGUAAGUUUUGUGUGUCGCCGUUGUCCGAAUCGCCAUAUUCAGGGCUCUCGUUUGGUAUAACACCAAUUCGUGUUCGAAUUCGUCGCUUGGAGAGGUUAAUUGUUCGAAUGGGGCAGACCGAAACCCCGGCAGAAAGCAGAUAUAUUCCCUCAAUUCAGCCCCAAGAAGACGAGGGCAUAGAAGAAAACAAGGAAGAAAAAGACGAAAAACCCGAAAACGGAACAAGCACGAAGAAGAAAACCUCUGGAGUUCAACAGCAUCCAUAGGUAGUUCCCAAACUUUUUGGAACGAAGUAAGAUGUAUUUCUUUUUGUUUUAGGGAUAGAUUUGUGCCUAGUCUAGUCGGGAAGCUUCUGAGCUUCCACAGGUCUAAAGAACUCAAAUCUUUCCUUUGAUAUCGAUGUGAUGAAAAACCCAGCUGGGAAUUGGGAUCUCACUCCAACCUUUCCUGUGGCCCAUCUCUGGGGUCACUACAAAGAUGCAAUAAUGGAGAAUCCACGUGAGAGAGGAGCUAGAGGGACCUCUUGUUCAAGAUUAGAUCUUAUUGUGGACCACAUCAAGACGUCAAAUUGUGGAGAAAUGCACAUGAGAGAUAGAGGAUUCUGGUAGCAUGCUAUUUGGAUUAUUCUGGAGAGAGAGAGAUGGAGAAGAUUCUGGUUAGAUGCCACUUGAAUUAUUGAAGAGAGAGAAAGAGAGUGGGAGAUUCUGAUAAGGAGUUAUUUGAAUCAUCCCAAGCCUUAGGAGUUACUUUAAGAAGCACUAAAGCAGAGUGAGAGAUAAGAAACUGCCCCAAUUAUCCAAAGGCUGAGCCCUGAGGAGUAACUUUAAGAAGCAGAGAGAUAUAUAGAUGAGAGAUUCUGAUAAGGAGCUAUUUGAAUGAUCCCCAGACUGAAGACCCAAGUAACUUAAAAGGAAGGAGGUUCGUUGUAUUUGUAAAACAGUGCAAACAAAGUCUCACGUUGUCUUACAUUAGCUAUGGUACGUAAGAGAAGAUAAUUAUCUCUAUUUGUAUGAAGUCUUUUGAAUGGAACAAAAAGCAAAACCGUGAAGAUUAUAUCUAAAGCGGACAAUAUCAUACAAUUGUGGAGAUAUUUAAGAUAUUGGAUACCGUUAUACUUCACAAGGUUGAAUUGUAUCUUUAAGAAUAAGACAGUUCAUAGAGAGGCUAUCUUGACAUGGUAACUAAGUGGCACAGCAUCUCUCUCUGUGUAUAGAAUAUGUAUCCAAAUUCCAAAUGUUGCUGAAAAUGUCAUGUUGGUGGGCCGCCUACCACUUUUAACAACAGUAGCAGCACGGACAGCGAUGGCUGCAGCCUGCCACGUGUGUAACUUGCGUAGGAGUUCAGCCACAUAGGCAAUAAUUUACAGCUCAACAAUUCGACAUCAUUCCGAGGAAGUUUCCAAAUCGAUCAUUUUGAAGUUGCUCAUUUAUUUUCAGGCUUAUUUGUUUGGUUCAAGAAUUACGGGGUGAAAAUCGAUCGAACAUGAGUGAUUGCACAUUUAGAUUGACUUUUUGAGAUAUUUUAAGUAGGCAAGAACUUGAAUGGUAAAUGUAAUAGCUGAUUUCAAGUUAUGCAAAAAAAAUUUAGU